Hylaeus volcanicus is the source of this 728-nucleotide RNA transcript. It is a transcript of the gene named histone-lysine N-methyltransferase SETMAR-like, with no coding region annotated. The record is from RefSeq and is a predicted model, not a curated record. The transcript is spliced from 3 exons. Lineage: Eukaryota; Metazoa; Arthropoda; Insecta; Hymenoptera; Colletidae.
AAGGACGAAGAGGACGAUCGAGAAAGCGCGGAAACUCGAGGAGGGAACAAUGCCAAACGUUUGGCCGCACGGUAAAAGUCGACGGUGUGAUUUAUCGACGCUUGGCGUGGUCUUUCUGGAACAGUAAACAUGGACAGCGAAAGAGUACAAAUUCGUGCUUUUAUUCUUUACGAAUUUAAACUUGGCAGUAAAGCAGCAAAUUUAGCAAGACGCAUUUGUAGCGUUUGUGGGGAAGGUGCUGUUAGUGAAAGAACCGCACAGAAAUGGUUUAAAAGGUUCAAAGAAGGAAAUGAAUCGGUAGAUGACGAACCGCGUUCAGGGCGUCCAUCUGUCAUCAAAGACGAAAAAUUCAUCGAAUUGGGCAAAUGGAUACCGCACCGUUUAACGGAAGAGAACAAAUACUCCCGGCUGAGCAUUUGCAAUAUCCAUUUAUCGAUCGAAUUUUAACUUGUGAUGAAAAGUGGGUGGAAUAUGAUAAUGUACGAUGAUCACAUCACUGAGUUCAGAAGGGGUCAUGUGCAACAGGAACCAUACCAAAACCGAGUCUCCAUUCGAAGAAGGUGCUAAUCACUGUUUGGUGGACUACACGAGGUUAUCGUUUACGUUGAUUUUCUUCCACGUGGCAGACUAUUACUGCAGAUACUUAUUGCAAAGAAAUUGACGAAGUCAGUGAAAAAAUUGACGAUAAAUGGUGAUUAUUUUGUUGAAUAAACCUAUGAUUUAAAACA